Molecule: ribosomal RNA, 497 nt
Filed under: uncultured bacterium
Lineage: Bacteria
Description: partial 16S ribosomal RNA
Rfam family: Bacterial small subunit ribosomal RNA
Source: RNAcentral
GAUGAACGCUGGCGGCGUGCCUAAUACAGGCAAGUCGAGCGAACAGACGAGGAGCUUGCUCCUCUUACGUUAGCGACGGACGGGGUAGUAACACGGUGAUAACCUACCUAUAAUGCUGUGAUAACUUCGGGAAGCCGCGACUAAUACCUAAGAGUUUAUUCAACCGGGUGGUGCAAGGAUAGAAGAGGCUUUUGCGGUCACUUAUACGUGGUUCCGCGCCGCAUUAGCUAGUUGGUAGGGUAACGGCUUACCAAGGCAACGAUGCGUAGCCGACCUGAGAGGCUGAUCGGCGACAUUGGAACUGAGACACGGUCCAGACUCCUAAGGGAGGCAGCAGUAGGGAAUCGUACGCAAUGGGCGAAAGCAUGACGGAGCAACGGCGCGUGAGUGAUGACGGUCUUCGGAUCGUAAAACUCUGUUAUUAGUGAAGAACAAAUGUGUAAGUAAAUAUGGACGUAUUGACGGUACCUAAUAAGAAAGCAACGGCUAACUACGUG